UACGGGAGGCAGCAGUGGGGAAUCUUCCGCAAUGGACGAAAGUCUGACGGAGCAACGCCGCGUGAGUGAUGACGGCCUUCGGGUUGUAAAGCUCUGUUAAUCGGGACGAAAGGCCUCCUUGCGAAUAGUUAGAAGGAUUGACGGUACCGGAAUAGAAAGCCACGGCUAACUACGUGCCAGCAGCCGCGGUAAU
This 193-nucleotide ribosomal RNA is filed under the name uncultured Veillonella sp. RNAcentral describes it as "partial 16S ribosomal RNA". It matches the Rfam family "Bacterial small subunit ribosomal RNA", at positions 340 to 524 of the family's 1533-position model. Lineage: Bacteria; Bacillati; Bacillota; Negativicutes; Veillonellales; Veillonellaceae. The record is from RNAcentral.